RNAcentral lists this long non-coding RNA (1078 nucleotides) under Marmota monax (woodchuck). Lineage: Eukaryota; Metazoa; Chordata; Mammalia; Rodentia; Sciuridae. The record is from RNAcentral.
GGAAGUCGGGACUACGUACCUGCCCACCGGUACCUGCUAGGCAGGAAGUGGGCGUCCUUAAAGUCGGAGUUUCGCCUGGAGAUUCGGAAUGUGGGCUUUGCACGCACACCCAAAAGGUUAAGUCCCAGCACUGACACAACCUGUGGUUAAUGAUUAUGGAACCAUUUCCAGGGUCGUGGGGAAAAUUAGAUGGCAGCACAAUGGCUGAGACAAGGAAAGCUUCAAACAGUGAUAGCGGUUGAUAGUAAUGGAACCACUCACAGAGACCGGUGGGUGAAUGAUCGAACUGUAUGUUGGACCCAUGGCCUUAUGUCUGAAAUGAGAAGACAUGAUUCAGGUUUUCACUUGUUAUGUGACGUCAGCAAAUGCAGUACCUGGUACCAAGGCUGGUACGCAGGAGGUAGGCUAUUUUUUCUAUGAUUUUUUUCCUCUGUGUGGAUGAGCUGGAUGACCAGAUAGACAGUAGGUUUGGACUGGGGCCAAAUAUACUGACUUUCCCAAAGUGUGGUAAGUGGAACAAAAAAAAAACACAGCAUGCUUUUUCAAGAAUUUUGCUUUUUUUCUUUUGACAUAAAAUUUAGUUAAAACCAGAAAAGAUUAUGUUCUAAUCACUGCAUACAUCAUUUAAGACUAGUUUUUAGAGAGACCAAUCUGACACACUAAGAUUUUUCAACUGACACCCAAGGGUUAGAGUUUGAGAAGUCCAGCUGUUGUGAUCAACUGCCAUGUAUAUUAUUACAUACAGAUGUAUAUGUAUAUAGCUGAAGAACCUUGUAAAAAUACAUGUAGAUAUGUAGAUCUUCUGAUUGAACUGGAGAUAAAAAUCUCAAGUCAUCCUCAUUCCCUUUCCCCUCAGAUCCCUUUUAAUUCCCAUCUACUGACCUUGUCCAGGUUAAAAAAAAAAAAAUCUAAAAUUCUGUGACAACAAAAACACAAACAACAAAGAAAAAAAUUGAACUUCAUCAAAAUUAAAAACUUUUUUACAUCAAAGAACGCUAUCAAUGUUAACCCACAGAAUUGGGGGAAAUAUUUACAAAUUAGAUACCUGAUAAGGGUCUGGUAAUCCAGAAUAUAUAAG